AUUGAUUCUCAUUUAUCUUCUUUGGCUGCCUUUGAUGACUCUAAUAUUGAAAUCCUCUCCUGAGCCCAUUGGAGUCAGCGACUGUAUCGAAGCACCCUAGUGGCUACAUCCCAAGUCGCCCUCUCGAUGACUUCUGAUAAUUUUUUGCAUUCCUCGAUUAGCCUAUUCCUUUCUUUAGCAUGAGCUUUGUCCCCUGGCCAAACAGCCGCUCGACGAUGCUCAGACUCUGUUGAAACUUCCUCGAAUGCCUUCUUGACCCUGGAAAGCUCCCUCUUCCAAUCUGAGACCUUUUUGCUUGGCACUUUCACCUUUUUCUCU
Molecule: long non-coding RNA, 318 nt
Filed under: Elaeis guineensis (African oil palm)
Lineage: Eukaryota; Viridiplantae; Streptophyta; Magnoliopsida; Arecales; Arecaceae
Description: long non-coding RNA (EGUI_LNC027728)
Source: RNAcentral